CUCGUUGUCUCAUCCAACUUUGCCCACCAAUCUACACACCCUUUCUUCCUCCAAAACGCAUUGGCUCCUAUACCUACAGCAUUCACCUUUUCUUUCAAUUUCACACCUCUCUUCUUCCCAUUAUUAUUAUUAUUAUUAUUAUUCAACCACGCCAAUCGUAACGCCACCUCCAACCUAUUUGCCAUGAAAGCCUCGAUACUAUAAUACCCUUUGGC
This 215-nucleotide long non-coding RNA is filed under the name Nicotiana benthamiana. RNAcentral's name for it is "long non-coding RNA (NBEN_LNC000643)". The record is from RNAcentral. Lineage: Eukaryota; Viridiplantae; Streptophyta; Magnoliopsida; Solanales; Solanaceae.